Long non-coding RNA from Haliaeetus leucocephalus (bald eagle), 277 nucleotides. RefSeq lists it as uncharacterized. The record is from RefSeq and is a predicted model, not a curated record. Lineage: Eukaryota; Metazoa; Chordata; Aves; Accipitriformes; Accipitridae. The transcript has 4 exons.
AGAAUCCAAGGCCUCGGAAGUCUGACAGCGGUGGAAGAUUCAGCUGCCCCAGGAGAGUAACUGUGCCUAAGGUUGUGGAAUUGCCCUCUAAGCUGAGUGUAUGGUUUGCAUGAUAUCCCUGUUCACUUUCAACUAGUAUGGUCUGUGGACAUGACUUUCAUAUUGGAGUAAGAGGCAGCAUUUCUGACACCGCGGCAGACUGGUGUGGCCCUCAGAAGCUUCUUUCUUCUGGUGUCAGUAACAGGCCUUUCACCAUGAACAAUUCUACUCCAGCUAC